GCUCAACCGGGGAGGGUCAUUGGAAACUGGGGAACUUGAGUGCAGAAGAGGAGAGUGGAAUUCCACGUGUAGCGGUGAAAUGCGUAGAGAUGUGGAGGAACACCAGUGGCGAAGGCGACUCUCUGGUCUGUAACUGACGCUGAGGCGCGAAAGCGUGGGGAGCGAACAGGAUUAGAUACCCUGGUAGUCCACGCCGCAAACGAUGAGUGCUAAGUGUUAGAGGGUUUCCGCCCUUUAGUGCUGCAGCAAACGCAUUAAGCACUCCGCCUGGGGAGUACGGUCGCAAGACUGAAACUCAAAGGAAUUGACGGGGGCCCGCACAAGCGGUGGAGCAUGUGGUUUAAUUCGAAGCAACGCGAAGAACCUUACCAGGUCUUGACAUCCUCUGACAACCCUAGAGAUAGGGCUUCCCCUUCGGGGGCAGAGUGACAGGUGGUGCAUGGUUGUCGUCAGCUCGUGUCGUGAGAUGUUGGGUUAAGUCCCGCAACGAGCGCAACCCUUGAUCUUAGUUGCCAGCAUUCAGUUGGGCACUCUAAGGUGACUGCCGGUGACAAACCGGAGGAAGGUGGGGAUGACGUCAAAUCAUCAUGCCCCUUAUGACCUGGGCUACACACGUGCUACAAUGGGCAGAACAAAG
Molecule: ribosomal RNA, 637 nt
Filed under: uncultured bacterium
Lineage: Bacteria
Description: bacterial SSU rRNA
Rfam family: Bacterial small subunit ribosomal RNA
Source: RNAcentral